AAAUGCAGCAAUAGGUUUAGUGAGGAUGGAUGACUGCCAACUUCUUUCCAUUUUCUUACUGGACAUUCAAUCAGAUUAUGCCCCAGUCUCCCAUGCAAAUAGAUGCAACCAUGUAACAGAGUUGUGGCCAACGGAAUGGGCAGAAGUAACAUGGGCCCUGCCAGCUGCUGCUGCCCCCGAGACAGUAAGACCGACUCCUCCUCUUUCUCCUCCUCUUCAUCCUACUCUAUGUGAAGACAAGAAUGAAGAUCUUUGUGACGAUCCACUUCCAGUGAAUGAUUACUAAGAGUAUCCACGUGACCUGGACCUGGGUGAGUGGGUCCUAGAAAAAUUUUUGCUUUCUUGCUACUCUUCCUUCUUCUCACUGGAAUGUAAAUGUAAAGGGUGGAGCUGCAGCAGCCAUCUUGCUAUCACAAAAGAAAGACUGAGAGAACAGCAGAAGAGUUGACCUUAAUGUUGUUGAACCACUGAAUCAACGCUGUAAACAAUCUAUCUCCAAAAUUCUUGGUAUGUGAGAAACUAAACUACUGUUUAUUUAAGUUGGGUUGUCUGUUAAGUGCAGCUGAAUGUCUUCCUAAUUGAUACAGAAAUGCAUUUAAAAAAUAGCAUGCACACUUUUUAGUAUGAGCUAAGAAAAUGAGUAAGAACACAGCACAUUGAACCCAAUUUUGCAUUUGCAAUCCCCAAAGAACCCUGGUACACUUUUGUAGAAUAUUAAUGUGAAACCUAAGUUUGGGGAAUGUCUCUGAUGAGAAGUUGGGAAACAGAAAUAGAUGAGACCUAUCUAUGGUGCAAAGAUAAAUUUUGGUUAGAAAGAAAAGAGCAAGAACAUGCACAAAAAUGUGUGGCAGAACCAGGCUGUGGGCAGGAACCAGAGGAGCUGUCUACUAUGGUUGUAUUUAAUAUGACUGCUGAGGACAAAGCUCUGAUUUUUUUAUCUGGCCCAAAUUCCUAUCUAAGGUGUCUGGAGAGUCAUGCCUUACAAACCAUACAUUCUCAUCAGAUGGGUUUUAUUUAACCCCAUAUAUUGUGACUUUCCAAUCUGACUCUGGCAUAAUA
RNAcentral lists this long non-coding RNA (1059 nucleotides) under Homo sapiens (human). Its description in RNAcentral is "HSALNT0378478". Lineage: Eukaryota; Metazoa; Chordata; Mammalia; Primates; Hominidae. The record is from RNAcentral.